GAUCAAGAGAACAAGGGCACACGGUGAAUGCCUUGGUACCAGGAGCCGAUGAAGGACGUUGAUGGCUGCGAUAAGCCUCGGGGAGCUGCCUAACAAGCGUUGAUCCGGGGAUUUCCGAAUGGGGAAACCCACCCGUGGUAAUGCGCGGGUACCUCACGCUGAAUCCAUAGGCGUGUUGGAGGUAAGCGGGCGAACUGAAACAUCUUAGUAGCCCGAGGAAGAGAAAGAAACCUCGAUUCCCUUAGUAGUGGCGAGCGAAACGGGAAGAGCCUAAACCAGGUCGGAGCGAUAAUCUGCGGAUGUUGCCGGCUUGGGGUUGUAGGACGACUCAUGAUUGCGCCGCAGCGCAUUCGGGGAGUUACAAAUGCACGCGUUAGCGGAAGCGGGUGGAAACUCGCGCCAUAGAGGGUAAAGGCCCCGUACGCGAAAAUACGUGCACUCCUUGUAGUCGUUCCUGAGUACGGCCGGGCACGAGAAACCCGGUCGGAAUCUGCGGGGCCCACCCCGCAAGGCUAAAUACUCCCUGGUGACCGAUAGUGAACUAGUACCGUGAGGGAAAGGUGAAAAGCACCCCGUGAGGGGAGUGAAAUAGAACCUGAAACCGUGUGCUUACAAGCGGUCGGAGCAGACUUGUUCUGUGACGGCGUACUUUUUGCAUAAUGGGCCAGCGAGUUAGUCGUGCGCGGCGAGGUUAAGGAAACGGAGCCGUAGCGAAAGCGAGUCUGAAUAGGGCGAAUUAGUCGCGUGCGCUAGACCCGAAACUGUGUGAUCUAUCCAUGGCCAGGCUGAAGCGGGGGUAAGACCUCGUGAAGGGCCGAACCCACGUCGGUUGAAAACGGCGGGGAUGAGCUGUGGAUCGGAGUGAAAGGCUAAUCAAACACAGAAAUAUCUGGUUCUCCCCGAAAUAUAUUUAGGUAUAGCCUCGUCUGUUCAGCAUUGGUUGUAGAGCACUGUUUGGCCUAGGGGCCUUACCAGGUUACCGAAGUCAGACAAACUCCGAAUGCCAUUGCUCCACAGGACGGGAGUCAGACUGCGGGGGAUAAGCUCCGUAGUCGAGAGGGAAACAGCCCAGACCGCCAGCUAAGGUCCCUAAUUCUCAUCUAAGUGGGAAACGAUGUCCGAAUGCAUAGACAACCAGGAGGUUGGCUUAGAAGCAGCCACCCUUGAAAGAGUGCGUAAUAGCUUACUGGUCAAGUGUUCGGGCGCGGACGAUGUAACGGGGCUCAAGGUGAGUACCGAAGCUGCGGAUUCGGCCCUUCGGGGCUGAGUGGUAGGGGAGCGUUCCCAUGCCGACUGAAGCGGCCGCGACAAGCGAGCCGUGGAGGCAUGGGAAGUGAGAAUGCUGGCUUGAGUAACGAAAGACGUGUGGGAAACACGUCCACCGUACACCCAAGGUUUCCUGAGUAAAGCUAAUCUUCUCAGGGUUAGUCGGGACCUAAGCCGAGGCCGAAAGGCGUAGGCGAUGGAUAACCGGUUGAUAUUCCGUACCACGUAGCCAUCGUUUGACCGAUGGGGGGACGGGGUAGGCUAGGGGAACCCAGGCGCUGGAGUUGACCUGGGGUAACCGUGUAGGUGGGUCGGUUGUGAAAUGCGCCGGCCAUUAACACUGAGGCGGGAUGCCGAGAGCCGCGUGAGCGAGCUCGAAGUCCUUGAAGCCAUGCCUCCAAGAAAAGCCUCUAGGGAGAAGGCGCGUGCCCGUACCUAAACCGACACAGGUGGGUGGGUAGAGAAUACCAAGGUGAUCGAGAGAACCUUCGUUAAGGAACUCGGCAAAAUGGCCCCGUAACUUCGGGAUAAGGGGCGCCCCGUCAGGGUGAAGGCACUUGCUGCCGGAGCCCGAGGGGGCCGCAGUGACUAGGCCCAGGCGACUGUUUACCAAAAACACAGGUCUCUGCUAAGUCGUAAGACGAUGUAUAGGGGCUGACGCCUGCCCGGUGCUGGAAGGUCACGAGGAGAGGUUAGCCGCAAGGCGAAGCUUUGAAUCCAAGCCCCAGUAAACGGCGGCGGUAACUAUAACCGUCCUAAGGUAGCGAAAUUCCUUGUCGGGUAAGUUCCGACCUGCACGAAUGGCGUAACGACUUGGGCGCUGUCUCAA
This 2095-nucleotide ribosomal RNA is filed under the name Actinomycetota bacterium. RNAcentral's name for it is "partial 23S ribosomal RNA". It matches the Rfam family "Bacterial large subunit ribosomal RNA", at positions 1 to 2024 of the family's 2925-position model. The record is from RNAcentral. Lineage: Bacteria; Bacillati; Actinomycetota.